UUUGGAAAGACAAAAUGGUAGCUUCAAAUUUUUGAGGAAGAACAAAGAAAUUUAUUUUCACUUCUUAAUGACAUAAUCAAGAAAUGGUAAAUCGGACAUUUUCUUUACAUGGGAGUGGAAGACGAAAUGUAAGGUAGUGCAGGAAGAAGCUAUCCAUUACUAUCAUUGCUUGAAUCAUUAUACCAAAUACAAUUUGGGGGUUACUCCCUGUACCUCCCCAAUUCUAACCCCCACCCCCCAUUCUAUUUUUGUCAUUUGCUCUAUUUUUUCUAUUCUAAUUUUAUCCUUUAGCAAAAAUUUAUAUUUAGAAAUAAAAUUUUAUAAUUUUAUUCUCCCACCCCC
This 342-nucleotide long non-coding RNA is filed under the name Vigna radiata. Its description in RNAcentral is "long non-coding RNA (VRAD_LNC017024)". Lineage: Eukaryota; Viridiplantae; Streptophyta; Magnoliopsida; Fabales; Fabaceae. The record is from RNAcentral.